AACGGGUAAGGGUACCCAACGUCAACACUAGCAUCAAAGGUGUAGACCAUAAAUAAAGUAUUUUGAGGGGUAAUGACCUAGCAAAAUCGGUAACACGCAUAAAAGGUAAACUAUAGACCAAUUUUGAAAUAAUAUCACCAAAACUGAUAAUUACAAGCAAGGAUACCAUGGUGUAUAAGGCUACAAUUCUCAAUAAGAUUUCAAUAUUGUAAUGUAUACAUUAGAAAUACUCCAUUGGUUAUGAUAUCUUGUCAAGUUUUGAUAUCCAUGUACUCAGGGUUUGGCUAUUAACAAAUUUCGUAUAUAUGCGGGGAUAUAAAAACUAUAAGUUUUUAUUAGGUUUUAAAAAUAUGAUCACAUAUUAAAAUGUGGUCCAAGUAGCCUCUUGAGUCUUGAAUAUUAUGGUGCCGUCCAAAAUGAUAAGUAGUUGUGAGUUUGUGACUAGAAAACAAUUAUUACGUAUUAAAAUUGACCCGAGCAUAUCAUAAAAUCAUUUCGAAUAAAAUGUUAUGUAUUUAUACAAAUUUUCUUACCCUCAUCAAUUUAUCUUUCCAAUAAACUUAAAAGUAAAAUAUUAUAUUCUUAUUAUCAGGACAAGUCUUAACCUUUUGUUAAACUUGAAUCUUUAGAAUUUUCUUCCUCUUUCUUUGAUUCCCCCCAUUUACUACAACCAUCCACCUUGUUUCUCCACCAUUCUUUGUACUCAACAAUCAUAGGUAAAGAAACAUAUAUGAAACAUCAUGAAAUAAUUUAUGUUGGUUCUUCUUUCAAAUUUCAUCACAUUCCCUUAACUUGACCCUUUUUUGUCCUAAUGUUAUCCUCCUUCCAAAUCCAUUGCCUUUGCUCCUAAUUUUCAUGUGACAGAUCAAACUAAAUCAUUAUAAAAUAUUCCAAUCGAAG
Molecule: long non-coding RNA, 900 nt
Filed under: Setaria viridis
Lineage: Eukaryota; Viridiplantae; Streptophyta; Magnoliopsida; Poales; Poaceae
Description: long non-coding RNA (SVIR_LNC005795)
Source: RNAcentral